RNAcentral lists this ribosomal RNA (810 nucleotides) under uncultured bacterium. RNAcentral describes it as "bacterial SSU rRNA". It matches the Rfam family "Bacterial small subunit ribosomal RNA", at positions 8 to 796 of the family's 1533-position model. The record is from RNAcentral.
AGAGUUUGAUCCUGGCUCAGAACGAACGCUGGCGGCGUGGAUAAGACAUGCAAGUCGAACGAGACUUUUCGUUGUAGCAAUACGAUGGAAAGUUUAGUGGCGAACGGGUGCUUAACACGUGGGCAACCUGCCAUGAAGUGGGGGAUAGCUCGCCGAAAGGCGAAUUAAUACCGCAUGUGAUUAGAGAGGACAUCCUUUCAAAAUUAAAGUCGGGGCAACCUGACGCUUCUUGUGGGGCCCGCGGCCUAUCAGCUAGUUGGUGAGGUAACGGCUCACCAAGGCUUUGACGGGUAGCUGGUCUGAGAGGACGACCAGCCACACUGGGACUGAGACACGGCCCAGACACCUACGGGUGGCAGCAGUCGAGAAUUUUUGACAAUGGGGGAAACCCUGAUCGAGCGACGCCGCGUGGAGGAUGAAGGUCUUCGGAUUGUAAACUCCUGUCAUUUGGGAACAAGGUGCAUACGUUAACUGCGUGCGCAUUGAUAGUACCAGAAGAGGAAGAGACGGCUAACUCUGUGCCAGCAGCCGCGGUAAUACAGAGGUCUCAAGCGUUGUUCGGAUUCAUUGGGCGUAAAGGGUGCGUAGGCGGCGCGGUAAGUCGGGUGUGAAAUCUCGGAGCUUAACUCCGAAACUGCAUUCGAUACUGCCGUGCUUGAGGACUGGAGAGGAGACUGGAAUUUACGGUGUAGCGGUGAAAUGCGUAGAUAUCGUAAGGAAGACCAGUGGCGAAGGCGGGUCUCUGGACAGUUCCUGACGCUGAGGCACGAAGGUCAGGGGAGCAAACGGGAUUAGAUACCCCCGUAGUCC